ACAUUGUUUUCUAUGGAAGAUAAUUAAUUAGCCAAAAACUACUUACUGUCUGUAUAGCUCCUCCAGCUUGGGAAAUGCUGGCCUGUUUGCUCAAGUCCUGGAUGCCAGACAUUCCUGAGACUCCACUCCACACACACCCCUUCCUCCUUGCCAAUCACUUCAGAUUGGGAGAGCAAGCUACCACCAGUGUGCUAAGGUGUGUUUAGGAACUGGAGAAAGGGCUCAGAUGGAGGAGUGCUUGCCCAGCACGCAGAAGAUGCUAAAUUCUCUUCCUAGCACUGCAGACAGGCAUGGUGGAUUAUAGUGUAAAUAUAUAAGUAGACUUGUGCCUAUAAUCCCAGGACGCUGGAGGUAGAGGCAAGAGGAGGAAGAUUCAAGGUCAUCAUCAGCUAUAUAGAAAUUUUGAGAGCAACCUGAACCAUGUGAGACCCAAAAGGAAAAGGUAAGGAAAGAAAUGACUUUACAUAAAAAUGACCAAAUGUUUUGUCAUCCCUACUGCCUUCUCUUAUUCAUUUACUUUUUGAAUUUUUUUUUUGGUAUGUUCAUUCUGACUUGCAGUUUUGAAAAAAAAA
This 572-nucleotide long non-coding RNA is filed under the name Rattus norvegicus (Norway rat). Its description in RNAcentral is "long non-coding RNA NONRATT032438". The record is from RNAcentral. Lineage: Eukaryota; Metazoa; Chordata; Mammalia; Rodentia; Muridae.